Molecule: ribosomal RNA, 497 nt
Filed under: uncultured bacterium
Lineage: Bacteria
Description: partial 16S ribosomal RNA
Rfam family: Bacterial small subunit ribosomal RNA
Source: RNAcentral
ACUCAAAGGAAUUGACGGGGGCCCGCACAAGCGGCGGAGCAUGUUGCUUAAUUCGACGCAACGCGAAGAACCUUACCAAGGCUUGACAUCGCCGGUUUACCCCUAGAGAUGGGGGGUCCUUUUGGGCCGGUGACAGGUGGUGCAUGGCUGUCGUCAGCUCGUGUCGUGAGAUGUUGGGUUAAGUCCCGCAACGAGCGCAACCCUUGUUCCAUGUUGCCAGCACGUGGUGGUGGGGACUCAUGGGAGACUGCCGGGGUCAACUCGGAGGAAGGUGGGGAUGACGUCAAGUCAUCAUGCCCUUUAUGUCUUGGGCUGCAAACAUGCUACAAUGGCCGGUACAGAGGGUUGCGAUACUGUGAGGUGGAGCGAAUCCCUAAAAGCCGGUCUCAGUUCGGAUUGGGGUCUGCAACUCGACCCCAUGAAGUCGGAGUCGCUAGUAAUCGCAGAUCAGCAAUGCUGCGGUGAAUACGUUCCCGGGCCUUGUACACACCGCCCGU